This 479-nucleotide ribosomal RNA is filed under the name uncultured bacterium. RNAcentral describes it as "partial 16S ribosomal RNA". It matches the Rfam family "Bacterial small subunit ribosomal RNA", at positions 29 to 523 of the family's 1533-position model. The record is from RNAcentral.
AACAAACGCUGGCGGCGUGCCUAAUACAUGCAAGUCGAACGGGGAAAGCUUUCGGGUGAGUACUAGUGGCGCACGGGUGAGUAACGCGUGGAUAAUCUGCCCUCGAAUGGGGAAUAACUAGUCGAAAGAUUAGCUAAUACCGCAUAAGACCACGACUACUGAGGUAGUUGGGGUCAAAGGAGCAAUUCGUUUGAGGAUGAGUCCGCGUAAGAUUAGCUAGUUGGUGAGGUAAUGGCUCACCAAGGCGAUGAUCUUUAACUGGUCUGAGAGGAUGAUCAGUCACACUGGAACCGAGACACGGUCCAGACUCCUACGGGAGGCAGCAGUAGGGAAUAUUGGACAAUGGGGGCAACCCUGAUCCAGCGACGCCGCGUGAGCGAUGAAGGCCUUCGGGUCGUAAAGCUCUGUUGUAAGGGAAAAAGUUCUGAUUGUACCUUACGAGAAAGGAUCGGCUAACUUCGUGCCAGCAGCCGCGGUAA